RNAcentral lists this ribosomal RNA (755 nucleotides) under uncultured Desulfosarcina sp. RNAcentral describes it as "bacterial SSU rRNA". It matches the Rfam family "Bacterial small subunit ribosomal RNA", at positions 56 to 784 of the family's 1533-position model. The record is from RNAcentral. Lineage: Bacteria; Pseudomonadati; Thermodesulfobacteriota; Desulfobacteria; Desulfobacterales; Desulfosarcinaceae.
UGCAGUCGUACGAGAACGCUCUAGCUUGCUAGAGCAAGUAAAGUGGCGCACGGGUGAGUAACGCGUGGGUAAUCUACCUUCGAAUUGGGGAUAACGUUGCGAAAGCGACGCUAAUACCGAAUAACAUCCAUUUAUCUUCGGAUUUUUGGAUCAAGGGUGGCCUCUACAUGUAAGCUAUUGUUUGGAGAUGAGCCCGCGUACCAUUAGCUUGUUGGUGGGGUAACGGCCUACCAAGGCAACGAUGGUUAGCUGGUCUGAGAGGAUGAUCAGCCACACUGGAACUGACACACGGUCCAGACUCCUACGGGAGGCAGCAGUGAGGAAUUUUGCGCAAUGGGGGAAACCCUGACGCAGCAACGCCGCGUGAGUGAUGAAGGCCUUCGGGUCGUAAAGCUCUGUCAAGUGGGAAGAACCUAUGCAGUGUUAACAUCACUGUGUACUGACGGUACCACUGAAGGAAGCACCGGCUAACUCCGUGCCAGCAGCCGCGGUAAUACGGGGGGUGCAAGCGUUAUUCGGAAUCAUUGGGCGUAAAGAGCACGUAGGCGGCCUGGUAAGUCAGAUGUGAAAGCCCGGGGCUUAACCCCGGAAGUGCAUUUGAUACUGUCAGGCUUGAGUAUGGGAGAGGGAAGUGGAAUUCCUGGUGUAGAGGUGAAAUUCGUAGAUAUCAGGAGGAACACCGGUGGCGAAGGCGACUUCCUGGACCAAUACUGACGCUGAUGCAGUCGUAUGCAGUCGUAUGCAGUCGUAAGAUA